CCUUGGCACCUUGAAUUAAUCAAGAUUAAUGAACUGGCCCUGUGAAUAGUGACAGCAUCUGAAGGACUAUGGUGUAGGCUCUCAAUGAAUGCCAGUUGAAUUCAAUUUCAAUAAUUGUCCCAUUAAUUGAAUGACACAAGUCCUGAGAAAGGCAGCUUAUCUAUCUGGCUCAUGACUACAACAGCUGUGAAAGGAUAGGAAGGCCCUUGGUGGAUGCCUUAAAGACAGUAAAAUGGACGUCACACUCAGAUUUUCAACAAGUCUCUACUACUGCUGCUGCUAAGUCACUUCAGUCGUGUCCGACUCUGUGUGACCCCAGAGACGGCAGCCCACCAGGCUCCCCCAUCCCUGGGAUUCUCCAGGCAAGAACACUGGAGUGGGUUGCCAUUUCCUUCUCCAAUGCAUGAAAGUGAAAAGUGAAAGUGAAGUCACUCAGUCAUGUCUGACUCUCAGCGACCCCAUGGACUGCAGCCUACCCGGCUCCUCCGUCCAUGGGAUUUUCCAAGCAAGAGUACUGGAGUGGGGUGUCAACAAGUCUCUGGAGUCCGACAAAUCUAGCUGGCAACCGGCUGAAAAAGCGGCAGUUUUCAGCUGCAAGAGGCAUAAUUCCUGUCCCACGGUGAUUCCAAAGGCACAGUCAUAAAUGACUAAGAUGAAACAAACAAAGCGGUGGAAAGUCUUCAGCGUGGCUAAGCUAACAUCAACUCAAAGACUGAAAGGCAGCACCCCCCUCCCAACAUUUCCACUAUGCAUGCUUCUAUUCCUUUUAUAUAAGUGACAAAACUACAAAGGUUCAAACAGUGUUGCAAGUUACUAGCUUCUCCUUAUUAGUUUACCCUGUAUUCAUUUUAGAAAUGAAGAUCCUUCAACCAAAAAAUUAAAUACAUAGGAUUUGUAUAAGGUUGAGCAAAAUUUAUAUUUAAUUAAAGUACAUAAAAUAUUCUGUUUGUUUCUUGUGUGAAACAUAGUGAUUUGACAUUUGUAUACAUUGUGAAAUGAUCACCACAGUAAGUAUAGUUGCUAUCAGUUAUCACACAGAGUCAAUAUAAUAUUAUUGACUGCAUUCCCCAUGCUGUACAUUACAUCCCCAUGACUUAUUUUAUAACUGGAAGUCUGUAACUUUUGAUCCGCUUCACCUAUUUGUCCUCUUCCAACCACUUUUAUUGGGGUUCCCUGAUGGCUCAGCUGGUAAAGAAUCCACCUGCAAUGCAAGAGACCCCGGUUUGAUUCCUGGGUCAGGAAGAUCUGCUGGAGAAGGGAUAGGCUACUCACUCCAGUAUUUUGGGGUUUCCCUGGUAGCUCAGCUGAUUAAGAAUCUGUCUGCAAUGUGGGGGACCUGGGUUCAAUCCCUGGGUUGGAAAGAUCCCCUGGCGAAGGGAUUGGCUGCCUGCUCCAGUAUCCUGGCCUGGAGAAUUUCAUGAAUCCUGGAAAAGGGAACAGCUACCCACUCCAGUGUUCUGGCCUGGAGAAUUCCAUGGACUGUAUAGUCCAUGGAGUUGCAAAGAGUCGGGCAUGACUGAGUGACUUUCACUUUCAACCGCUUUUAUCAGACUUAUUUCAUUUAGCGUAAUACCCUCAACGUCCAACUAUAUAAUAAAUGGCAAAACUUUUCCUUUUUUAUGGCUGAG
Molecule: long non-coding RNA, 1628 nt
Filed under: Bos indicus x Bos taurus (hybrid cattle)
Lineage: Eukaryota; Metazoa; Chordata; Mammalia; Artiodactyla; Bovidae
Description: lncRNA (ENSBIXG00000019927.1)
Source: RNAcentral